GUGCAUGAGCUCCCAGAGGGAGACUCCUUUCUCCUUCACCAUGGUUUCCUUGAAAAUCCGUUGGAUUUGCUCGUCGCUGUAGGCAGGAGCAGCUGUCUGUGCCAGAGGCAGCAAGUGGAAGCCGGAGACAUCGUCCUUCUGGCAGUGCUGGAUGAGCUCAGCGUAGGUCACGCUCUCUUUGCUGUCCGGGAGGCAGAAGACUCUGUGGUCAUCGCUGGGCUUGGAAAGGGCCUUGCUUGUGUCCUCAUCCAGGCAGCCUCGCUGCUGGGCCGACUCGAGGGGGAUGUAGUGGCCACACGCCGGGUCGAUGAUGCCUCCUGUGGCCAUCUGCACCUCCAUGAGCUGCAUGGCCUGCUUGUCCGCGAUCAGGCCCUUCUUCAUCGCCUGGAAAAGGGGGAUCUUCUUGCCCGUGAAAGGGUCCUUGUAGCCCGUCACGGCCCCUUCCGCGUGCUGCAGCUUCUCGUGGACGUCUGGCCCGAUGACUCCCUCCCUGACGGCCUCAUCCACGCGGAGCUUCUGGUUGUUCACAGGGUCAAUAAUGAAGCCUGUGGCAGCCUGGGCCUCCAGCAGGGGCAGGGCUACUCCUGGCACCACGAUGUUCUGCUUCAUGGCCUCAUAAAUGCUCAUUCUCUGGUUGGAUGGCUGGAGCACAAUCCCGCCAAUGCUGCCCGAGCCGUAGAGGUACUUCCUGACGGAGUCCAUGCGCAGGACUUGUUCUGGGGUGACGGACCCCUCCAGCACCUGCUCCAACAGGGCCCUGUCGAUGACGCCGGUUUCCAUCAGGUGAUAAGCGCUGACAUUGCCUCUCAUGGCUGGGAACUUGAUGGGGGCCCAUUUCUUCAUUUCCUCCUCCAGCAUGAGUCGGAUUUGCUCCAGGCUGAGCUUCUUCAGCUGGAAGUGGUUGAAAAUCUCCCGGCGCCUCCCCUCGCUGAAGUACUCGGAGUUCAGCAGGUCCCACACGGAGACCUUCUCCCCCCGCAAGCGCCCAAACCUGACGGGCAGCCAGGAGCUCCUGAACACCUGCCUGGUGGCCUCAUCGAUGAACUGCCGCUUCCUGCUGUUCAGAGGGAGCAGGCAGAGCCCGGUGGAGGGCUCCGUGAUGCAUUUCUCCUUCAGCUGCAGGUACGUCAGGUUCUCGUGGGUGUUGGGGUCGAAGAAGCCCUUGGUGUCAUCACUGGGGUCGGAGAGGAUCAAAUUCAUCUUCUUGUCGAAGUAGCCGCGCUUGUAGGCCACCUCCACGGGGAUGCGGUGGCUGUGCACGGGGUCGAUGAUGCCGCCCGUGGCGAUCUGGGCCUCCAGCAGGCGGAUGCCGUGGUCCCUGACGAUCAGCUCCUUCUGCAUGGCCUGGAACAGGGAGAUUUUGUCACCUGUGUACGGAUCUCUGUAGCCGGUGACAGAUUUCUCUGCAGCCAGCAGCUUGUCGUAAACGUCUGGGCCAAUGAUGUUGGCUCGUAA
This 1455-nucleotide long non-coding RNA is filed under the name Parus major (Great Tit). Its description in RNAcentral is "lncRNA (ENSPMJG00000015973.1)". The record is from RNAcentral. Lineage: Eukaryota; Metazoa; Chordata; Aves; Passeriformes; Paridae.